GGAAGUAAAAGUAACAAGGUUUCCGUAGGUGAACCUGCGGAAGGAUCAUUAAAGUUAUAGUCCCCCGGCCCUCUGGGCUGGGGUCUUCUAUACCACCCUUUGUUUAUUACACCUUUGUUGCUUUGGCAGGCCUGCCCUCGGGCUGCUGGCUCCGGCCGGCUCGCGUCUGCCAGAGGACCUAAACUCUGUUUGUAUAUGAAGUCUGAGUACUAUAUAAUAGUUAAAACUUUCAACAACGGAUCUCUUGGUUCUG
This 253-nucleotide unclassified non-coding RNA is filed under the name plant metagenome. Its description in RNAcentral is "partial contains small subunit ribosomal RNA, internal transcribed spacer 1, and 5.8S ribosomal RNA". The stretch from base 1 to 51 matches the Rfam family "Eukaryotic small subunit ribosomal RNA", at positions 1778 to 1831 of the family's 1831-position model. The record is from RNAcentral.